Molecule: ribosomal RNA, 495 nt
Filed under: uncultured bacterium
Lineage: Bacteria
Description: partial 16S ribosomal RNA
Rfam family: Bacterial small subunit ribosomal RNA
Source: RNAcentral
GAUGAACGCUGGCGGCGUGCCUAAUACAUGCAAGUAGAACGCUGAAGGAGGAGCUUGCUCUUCUGGAUGAGUUGCGAACGGGUGAGUAACGCGUAGGUAACCUGCCUGGUAGCGGGGGAUAACUAUUGGAAACGAUAGCUAAUACCGCAUGACAACAGUUAUUGCAUGAUAACUGUUUAAAAGGGGCAACUGCUCCACUACCAGAUGGACCUGCGUUGUAUUAGCUAGUUGGGGAGGUAACGGCUCACCAAGGCGACGAUACAUAGCCGACCUGAGAGGGGGAUCGGCCACGCUGGGACGGAGACACGGCCCAGACUCCUACGGGAGGCAGCAGUAGGGGAUCGUCGGCAAUGGACGGAAGUCUGACCGAGCAACGCCGCGUGAGUGAAGAAGGUUUUCGGAUCGUAAAGGUCUGUUGUAAGAGAAGAACGAGUGUGAGAGUGGAAAGUUCACACUGUGACGGUAUCUUACCAGAAAGGGACGGCUAACUACGUG